GUCAGGGUAGGCGUUCCCUAACGGAAAAAUGCUAAUAAAUACUAUAACGGUCCAAUUGGAUCUCACUAUCUCGUGCUUGACUCUGCCCACCUCCUUGAUUUUUCUAAGAUUCAUUUUCUCCCAUUGGAAACGACUGGCUCUAUCUUGAGUUAGUUAUCUUUGCAUCUUUGCUCCAAGUAUGCAUUUACCCGUGACUUGAAUAUGGAGCAAGAAAGACGAACCCGGAAUCAUAACGCCUGAGCGGAGUUGCCACAUCCGGUUUUCAGCGUAAAAGGAAGCUAGGUCACCCGGCACCAUAACAUGUUUACGUUUCUGUAACUAAGACUAGCUAAGUGUCUCGAUUCGCACCGUCGGACUCAGAGCAUUCAGUUUACAUUUCCGAAAUAAGCUAACCAGUUACCCACCUGGAAGAUGAAGUACUUUACUGUAGCACCAACUUUUUUUCAAGUUCCAAACUGUCUUAUGGAAGGCUAAGGGGGACCUGCAAAAUCAAGGUAGCUACAGUAAUAGCUAACUAACGUUAGCAAGCUUAGCUAGGCUAUUUGAUGUGAGCCACUAGUCUAUGACAAACAAUAGGCUACUCCAUGUACUGAUAAUUCAUGUUCUGCAAUCAAUGUGCCCUUGCAAGUGGCAUAUUUGCCUUCAAUAUAGACCUCAGUACAUAGCUGGUUAGUUAGAUGAUUUGGCUACUUGGUGGUACUCACUAUUCGCAUAUGUUGUGUGCCAAGUCUCAUUGGAUCUAACGUUACUGCAGUGAGAUGCAAGUUAGGCUUCUCAGUUAGCCUGAGGCUAGUUUGAUAAGCUGUAUGGGGGUAAUUCAGGACACAAAGCACCCAUUAGGUGUUGUGGUGUAAUAAACAGUCGUGUUUACAAGCAGACAUAGGGAAGUAGAGUGGGUGGACUCCCUUGGUCAGUUGGUGUAGGCCUAACGUUACACUUGGAAUCAACUGUAGUUACACCACUAUCUAAUAUUACAGAACCUCAGACUCUCACCAUUUUCACUGUUAUAAAAAGGACUUUAUAAAAUCAAUUGGAUUGAUAUGCUUCAGGAGAUAGGCCUGGUCAGCUACUUGGAAAUGACUAGGUCUAGCCUAACUUAAUUUAAAUUGACCCUGGGUGUCACCCAGAUAGCUAGUUUAGUUGGUGUGAGAUGGAUGUAGAUAUAAAGCCGGAGGAGGAUGAGGUGGAGAUAUCCCCAGCUGUCAUUUUGUCUGACUCUUUUGAUGCAAGUUAUUCAUAUGCUGAAAAUUUGUAUGACACAACAAAACAAAGCCUUAUUUGUGCUCUGUUAGAAGAUAGAAAAUCAAGUGAUACGGAGAUUAAAAUUAAUUCAACAACAGUUGGUGUUCCAGCUGUAAAUGUGGGUGGUAAAGGUGUUGUUCAUGUUCACACAGAACAGGAUAGCCCACGCACCUCUGUAGGGAAUUUAAUCAAAGAGGAGCCAUGUUUUUACAUAUCUCCCAAUGAUUUUCAGAUUGGAAAAGUAUGUACCUUUUCUCAGUCGCAGCAUCUAGUUGCAGAAAGUGUUUCUUUGGGAGGACAAAUCAACCCAACUGCACAGAUAUUUAGCAGCUUUCAAAUACAGCCCCUAAACAAUGAUCAAGUGCUGACUGAUUAUGUUAAUCUUCCAAGCCAAAGUAUUGCCAAACCGUUUCCGAUAAUUUCACCUGCAAUAGCAAGUGACAGUAAUUUAACUCCAGUGCUGCAAUCAUGUCAUAUGAGGACUCACAGGCCUAUUCUUCCAGCCUAUUGUAAACCAUUUAAUUUUACCUCUGCUCAAGAGGAAGACUACGACGUUAAAAUAAAAAAAAGAGGGAAGAAAAUGGUCAAGGCACAAAAAGGGAGAAAAGAUGGAGAUAUGUGGCGACAUCGUGUUAAUUACUCAAAACAUAUUUCACCAAGGUCGUCAGCUGGGAAAAAGUUGAAGGAUCCAUACUCCAACUGCAAGAAAAUUGGCUUGGAUUUCAAUGUUGGGUCUGGAUCCAAUCAGAAACUAGAUUUGCAGUUGCUGACUAAAGGUGUGAUGGUUGAGGUUUCUGAUUUUGCUAAAGAAGUUAAUAGAGCUCAGCAGCAUGUUGUCUGUGACAUUCUAGAGUACAACUUUGAUCUUGGUUUGCAAAAGCAUCAAAGGUAUGAUUUUGCGACACGUACUAUGCACAAAUUAAGAGAAUUGAUGAGAAAACGAAAAACUGUCCUAGGAAAACCUGAAUUGGUAAUGGAGGUGUUUACCCUUCCUGAUCCCAACACGAUAAAAGGAUCGAAAUAUGCCCUUUCAACUGCAAAGAAUUAUGACCGUGUGUCAGAAAAUCUUGAAACUGCUGGCACAUUUUUAAUGGACAAAUCUCAUCUGGACAUCGUAUCCAGACUUACUCACCAUGUCAAGACAGACAACCUGUUAACUGAGAAAGAUGUAACGCAGUGUGCUGGUGGAACGGCGUACAGCCUUGCAAGGGACCAAAACUGGCAUCUAAUGGCUUCUACAACGUCAAAAACAAUGAAGGACCCUUAUCCCCUCUGUAAGAAAAUAGGAUUAGAACUUGAUGUGAAAUCCAAUUUUGGGGCAAAAGAGAAACUUAAUUUGGAUUUAUUGACCAAAGGUAUAAUGAUUGAACUUGGUAAUUUUGCCAAAGAUGUUUGUGGAACUUACAAGCAAAUUGUCAUUGAUGUCCUAGAGCACAAUUUUGAUCUUGAUUUGCCUAUUGAGAAAACCAAGCUGUCUACCUAUAUUAUUACAAAGUUGAGACGAGUUGUUAAGAAAAUGACAUGCAUGGCACAUAGAAGGAAACCUCCAUAUUUAAAGGAAACAUUCUCACUGGGGGUUGGCACAAGAAAGAAACCUGCAGUGAUUUCCAGUAAAAUGCAGGUCAUUAACUCAAUUGACUCAAAUGUGUGGAAAUAUCAAGGACUGAAAAAAGUUACAGAAAGAAGACGAUUAGAUUUGAGAAGGAAAAAGGGAGAAAGAGCCACUUGCAAAGUAAGAGAAAUGAAGGCAGAGAAAUUUCAUAGAGGUAGACAAGUAGGCCUAGUUCCUCAGUCUGUGAAGAAACAGACCAUUUCCAACGAGACUGAACUCACAUUGUCAGCCGGAAAAAUGAAGGUCCCGGUCAGCAAAAUUAAAAAGGCAAAUGUGAUGCCCUUUGCAGAGAAAGUGGUGAAAAACUGCUACCCCUUGUGCAAAGAAGUAGGUGUGGAACUUGAUGUGAAAUCCAAACCACUAUCCAAAACAAAACUUGACUCACAGUUACUGACUAAUGGCGUAAUGUAUGAGGUUCAUAAGUUUGCAAAAAAUACAAAAAAGGCUUAUAUGUAUACUGUCUAUGAUAUACUGGAAUAUAAUUUUGAUCUAGAUUUGCAAAAUCAGAAACGCUGUCAAUUUGCCGUACAUAUUUCAUCUAAACUGAAACGAAUGGCUAAACGGAAAUAUGUCACAAAUGAAGACUUUUCAAAAGAAGUGUUUAUAAUACCUCUUGUGACUAGACAAUACAAGAAAAAAGAAGCUACUCCACCUGCAAGAUUGUCAAAAAGACAAUUGGAUUUGAAAAGGAUACAAGAGGCAAAUCAUACAGAGGAGAAGAGGAACUGUCAGGAGAUGGUUAGCAAGACCGGUUUGAAAAAUCUGGUCCCUGAUGCAAGGACUGUAGGGUCUCUGCAUGAUGAAGAGAUCAUCUCUAUCGAAACAGCUGAAACUGUCAAGCUUGGCCAAGAUAAUGGACCCACUGACUUCUGCUUAAAGGAGUCUGAUGUUCACUCUGGGGUCACAGAGCAAACCCCAUGCCCAGAGAACUACCAAGUUGACAUUUGCUGGAAAAUGAUCAAUGAAAUUGUUACGAGUAGUGAAAUGCAACAGAUGAGAUGGAUUUUUGUACCUUUUUCAAACUGUUUUGGUGUUGGGACUGGUUCGGAAAAGAAAUUUCAACAAAUCCUUGCUGAAUACAGAUCAGACAUCCUACCACUGGUAGUUGAGAAACAUUGUGGCUUUAGUUCCACUGAAAAGACAAUGAUGUGCCUUGUAAGUCAGCUCUUCUGUGGCUUACAUUUGAUUGAUGGCUUAGCUCACCAGGCAAAAACAACUCUUCUACUUUGGGAAAAUAUGAUUUUAGGAGAUAAAGAAGUAGGAGUCCAUAGCUCCCCUAACAUUGAGACAACAGAGUUGGAGUCUGGAACAGUGCGUUUGGUGAGUUCUGUGAGUGAUGCUGUGCAAGAGCUUGGAUGGGCAGAGGACGGUCAGCUUGUUCCGUUCGAAAGCUUUUUGACCAGCAAAAAAGAAUUUGAUGAAGUUCCUUUGUCUCUAUCCAUUGGACACAGAAUUGAUGGUCUGUUUCAUAAUUCUGCUGGAGUGUGUAGCAUCCAUGAUGAUUUGGUUGAGUUUACCAGUACGUACGGAGCUGAGAGUAGUUUGCUUGCUGCAGUUGUUGCUGAUUUGGAGGUUCAACAGUUCAAGGCCGGAUGCAGAGCUCUGGGUCUGGUUUCCAAGCUUAUCAUUGAUCCUCUCUGGAGAGCCUUAACUUUGAAGGGAAACGUGUUGGAGAUGGAAGAAAGAUACCAAACCCUUGUUACCAAACUCAAGGAAUGGCAGGAAGAUGGGAGAGACCUUGUUAAAGGAAAUGCAUGCUUGUUUGAUGACAUUGAGGUACCCAAGAACCUUGUGUUUGACAGGCUUACCAUGUGGACUGACACAGACUUUUUUGAGUUGACUGUUCAGAUUGUUGAGUUGAUCCUAGCCAGUUUUCUGAAGGUAUGUUCUAUGAUGCUUCCAGUCGAACCAGAGCUCCUGUCAAAGAAAAAUGAUCGAUUCAGGAAGGAUUUGGCAAUAUUAGAUCAAUUGCAAAAAGCUAAGUCAAAUGCAGUCAGUAUUGCCAUUGAAGGCAUGGACAUGUGCAAGAAGAAUCACACUUGGGAAUGGCUGUCCUUUUUGGAUGAAUCAAAAAUGGUGUCAAUGAGGAAAACAUUCCAGACAGUGUAGGCAAAGGAAGAAGAAAAGCUCUGCCACACCUGCAGAAGAAUGGAAAUGGUAAAGGAAUAGACAUGAAAGACAGAGUGAAUGAGUCUUUUAUUUGUUUAUUUAUUUAGAAAUGAACCACAGUAGGACUAUAGAGGACAGAACCUUUUUAUAACAGGUUUAACUUUGCCCCUGUAUCCUGGUGAUGACAUUGCCUAUACAGCUCUUUCAAAAAAAAUCCAUGAACGUGCUUUUCUUUCUAGCGCCUUAGCUUUUGUGUUCAGACUGGUGAAAGAUAAACAGCAAUGCAACCUCAGACAAUAAGUAGAUGCAAGUAUAAUAUAGUUACACUAUAUACCUAUUUUGUGAUAUAUUGUAUAGCCUAAUGAUGUUCAAACGCGGUGUCAGUAAAUGUUGAAUAACGCUUCUCCAUUUGGCACCACCUGUAGUUGGGAAUGUGAAUGGUUUCACGAGCUUACCUGUUUUUAUAUUGUUUAAAAUCCAAUUCAGAGUUUUUUUCCGAAGUGUGCUGUCAGGAAAAGUGUAGAGGCUUAGGCUCAAUAGUUGAAUUUGCAUAUUUCCUUGGCCUUCUUUUGAUACCUGGUCUUGUCUUUGAAAAGACUAAUUGAAUGAAAAAAAUUAUAAUUUUGAAAGGAGACCAGUCGUUAUUUUAGUGUUAUUAGCUUAUUUCUGGACCAUUUUCCCCCUCACUUUUUGUAUGACCAUUGAAUUGCCUACUUGAAUGGUCAACUUAAAUAGAAACGAGAUGGAGAGCAAGGCUCUGAAAGUUGUCAACUUUUCCACUGUCAAAAUGAAUCAUGCUUUAUUUUUUUAAAUACCUUUUUUUAAAUCAUAUUUUGGUAAUCCAUUUUUGAGAGCCUGUUUUAUCUCUAUAUUUUUGUUGGAGAUCAAGAUGUUUUCAUUAGGACAAAUGCACACUGGACUGCAGUGCUUUUCUAUCUGCUGCAGCAUUCAACCUUCCACAUUACUGUAGACUUCAGGAAGAACAUGCUUUUAGAUAUAAACAUCAAAUAAUUAGCAAAAGGCUGAGUUCCAGGUUUGUGAUGUCCACCAUGAGAGAUUCUCAUUAAAGUUGAACCAGUGACUAGUCUCAGAUGGGGAGCUGGACCUCUUGAAGACCAAGCUAGACUGGCAGGCCUGUGGAUCUCUUGUUCUGGGCUACUCAGAGGUGCUGCCAGAACUGGACCUUGGCACUAUCAAUUCACAGACUACCACCUACAGCCCGUCCAUACAAACCUGCACAUAGGACAAGUGCUGGGGUGAGUAUGUUUUAGUUUGUGUGUGUGUGUGUGUGUCCUUCGAUUCAUUUUGUGCAUGUAAGUAUUGUCUGAUCAGUUAUUGACCACUCAUUCUCUUCCUCUCUGUAGCCUCAGUCACAAAGUCAUCACUGAUGCUCUGACUGAAACUAGCCUACACCAACUGGUCUUUGCCAACUGUUCCACUAACCUACCGUAUGAUGUGCAUUGGAGUGCUUGCCUGUGAUUGAGAAAGCGUGUGAUGUAGGUACAGUGAGGGAAAAAAAUAUUUGAUCCCCUGCUGAUUUUGUACGUUUGCCCACUGACAAAGAAAUUAUCAGUCUAUAAUUUUUAUGGUAGGUUUAGUGAGAGACAGAAUAACAACAAAAAAAUCCAGAAAAACGCAUGUCAAAAAUGUUAUAAAUUGAUUUGCAUUUUAAUGAGAGAAAUAAGUAUUUGACCCCCUCUCAAUCAGAAAGAUUUCUGGCUCCCAGGUGUAUUUUAUACAGGUAACAAGCUGUGAUUAGGAGCACACUCUUAAAGGGAGUGCUCCUAAUCUCAGCCUGUUACCUGUAUAAAAGACACCUGUCCACAGAAGCAAUCAAUCAGAUUCCAAACUCUCCACCAUGGCCAAGACCAAAGACCUCUCCAAGGAUGUCAGGGACAAGAUUGUAGACCUACACAAGGCUGGAAUGGGCUACAAGACCAUCGCCAAGCAGCUUGGUGAGAAGGUGACAACAGUUGGUGCGAUUAUUCGCAAAUGGAAGAAACACAAAAGAACUGUCAGUCUCCCUCGGCCUGGGGCUCCAUGCAAGAUCUCACCUCGUGGAGUUGCAAUGAUCAUGAGAACGGUGAGGAAUCAGCCCAGAACUACACGGGAGGAUCUUGUCAAUGAUCUCAAGGCAGUUGGGACCAUAGUCACCAAGAAAACAAUUGGUAACACACUACGCCGUGAAGGACUGAAAUCCUGCAGCGCCCGCAAGGUCCCCCUGCUCAAGAAAGCACAUAUACAUGCCCGUCCGAAGUUUGCCAGUGAACAUCUGAAUGAUUCAGAGGACAACUGGGUGAAAGUGUUGUGGAGGAGGAAUGCUGCCUAUGACCCCAAGAAAACCAUCCCCACCGUCAAACAUGGAGGUGGAAACAUUAUGCUUUGGGGGUGUUUUUCUGCUAAGGGGACAGGACAACUUCACCGCAUCAAAGGGACGAUGGACGAGGCCAUGUACCGUCAAAUCUUGGGUGAGAACCUCCUUCCCUCAGCCAGGGCAUUGAAAAUGGGUCGUGGAUGGGUAUUCCAGCAUGAAAAUGACCCAAAACACACGGCCAAGGCAACAAAGGAGUGGCUAAAGAAGAAGCACAUUAAGGUCCUGGAGUGGCCUAGCCAGUCUCCAGACCUUAAUCCCAUAGAAAAUCUGUGGAGGGAGCUGAAGGUUCGAGUUGCCAAACGUCCGCCUCGAAACCUUAAUGACUUGGAGAAGAUCUGCAAAGAGAAGUGGGACAAAAUCCCUCCUGAGAUGUGUGCAAACCUGGUGGCCAACUACAAGAAACGUCUGACCUCUGUGGUUGCCAACAAGGGUUUUGCCACCAAGUACUAAGUGUCAUGUUUUGCAGAGGGGUCAAAUACUUAUUUCCCUCAUUAAAAUGCAAAUCAAUUUGUAAAAUUUUUGACAUGCGUUUUUCUGGAUUGUUUUGUUGUUAUUCUGUCUCUCACUGUUCAAAUAAACCUACCAUUAAAAUUAUAGACUGAUCAUUUCUUUGUCAGUGGGCAAACGUACAAAAUCAGCAGGGGAUCAAAUACUUUUUUCCCUCAUUGUAGGUAGUGAGUGAAGACAGGGAGAGGGGCGGUUUCUUUUAUUUCAUGUAACUGUUGGAGGAGGGUGAUCUGUUCGGUAAUGAUGAAUAAUAUACUUCCUCUACAGCCUCUUCAACAACAGACUUGUGAACAGAACAUCCUUCCUGACACACAAGACAAGAGUUCUGAGGUCUUGUAAAGAGGGAUGAGAGGACUGCCAAUAGAUUAAACUGAUUCAUUACUUUGAUCAGUCCUACUUUCAACACUUCGUACUAAAAAUGUACUCUGAUUGCCCACUUAAGCUUGCAAUGGAUUUCAGUGGAGUUAAACAUGACACAUGCAGUGUCACUGUUUCGUGUGGAAGGGGCUACGAGAAGGGGUCGAUUUGGAAUUCAGCACUGUCCAUGGGUUGACCGUCCUGAACUUUUUUUUCCUUAAAUGUUUUGUUUUUGACAGUACAGCUGGAAAUGUAAAGAUUGAAACAUAGUAGGGGCAUAGACAGAGGGUGGCCGAGGUGGAGCCCAAUCCCUGUUGCCAGGGGGCCCAAUCCCUGUUGCCAGGGGGCAUAUCUGGUACAGAGUCGGGGAGCUUAGACCACUACACUAGACUCCGUCACGACUGACCUGAACUUUUUACCAGAAAAUAAAUACUAUGUUCAUCAGACUCUCCUCACUGUAAAACUCAGAAUGGUUGUGAGGUCACAGGGAAAAGACUGAUCUGAGGGACCACAGACUCACAAAACAUUGUAGCUCACUUGACUGGAAAACAGCUCUUUGUGGUGCCUAUGUCUGACAUGAAGUAAAAAUGAAAACACAACAGAAAAUUGCUCUCUACUUCCUACCACAAUCUUAUAUAUUGCAUACUUAGAAUAUGAAUGUGAUUAUUCAUACACUCAUAUUAGGCUUAUUUCUCUUUGGUUGGGGUGUUCAAUGGUUAAGUGGACUAGCUACCACUAUGGCAUUUUGAUGUUAUGGCGUCAGCUCUGGCUGGCUGAGAAGACAAGUAAAAGGGCUAAUAGUUGGCAGGGCAAUUUUUGUUUUUCCCAACUUUGUAUUACCGUAUCAAAUAAUUUAAUUAAGGUAGAAAAAUCACUUUAUAUCGGUGUUAUGCCUGUUGUUCAAGCGUGUAACUGCCCUCUCAUUCGCUAGAAUGGUCCCACCUGAUCUCACCUCCUCCCGACUUCCUUCCAUCUUUGAAUACAUGUAUUUUCAUUGUUAGAGUGGCCACUUGAGUAUCUUAUCUAUAUAAUUGUCAUGACUGCCACUCCUUGGUGAGGAUCAAAGGUGCCGGAUCAGCUAGGCCAAUGGCUGACAGAUAGCCAAACUCUCUCUCUCUCCUGGGGGAGUUGGCCCGGUUUUAUGAUUUAACGACCGGAUUGUAAAUACCUGGCAGAAACUCUCCCUUUGGCUCUGCAGUAUUGAAAGACUGAGUGUUACAGAGAGACUCUUGCUAAAAACUUUAACAUCAAAAGAUUGGACAUUGGAACAUUAGUUUUGAAAUCCAAACGCUUGGAAUGGUUGGUGGGUUUAUUAUUUUGUGAUAUCAUUAAGGAUGGUAUAACUAAGUAACAUUGUAACUUUAAGAGCUUUCACAAUGUAUAGAUCAGAUUUGCAUGUUGCAUGUUACUGUUGUGAAGAUAAAAUGUGAUUUUAGCCUUCUAAAUGAGAAUUGUUUUUCAUAUAAACUUUUGCUAAGUCAGUAACCACGCCCACGUGAGCACAGACUUCGUGUCAGCAUGAUGGAACACCCCUUUUUACCUAAGCAUAAAAGGACUCGUAACGAAAUUUACAUUAGACCAAAACAGGCCGGGUUGCUGCCGGUUUGUAAAGUGGUCCUAGCUGUACCCUGAAUAAUCAACCAUUGAGACCAGUCUACGUGCAGCGUGAGCUGAAUACGUUACCAAUGGUUAAAUCUCUACAGUUGGGUAAUUUAAAGUAGUCUAUGUAGAACAAUUGACCCAGACGGGAAAGAAGAACAAUUCCCUAUCACCACUGUGUGAUACACCUCUGAUGGAUCCAUUCUAACGAACACUCCAGAACAAAAGAAGCCUACAACUACUAAGGAAAUUGUGACCUCUGGUGGACCACCAGAGACUUACAUCGAACCACCACAUUGAACUAUCGAGUUCAACAGAGAGACGACAGAGAAAGACAUCUACGCGUAAAUAUGUAUUGCAUUCCUUUUCUGAAUGAGCGGGUGUUAGGGUUCCUAAUAUCCAUAUUUACAGUGAGUGUAUUUUUCAACUGUAUGUACGAUAAGUCCACUCUCUUUGUCUCUCCCGCUCCUUAUCUUUCCCCACCCCCUUUCCAUUGUGUAACAAGCUGUCAUAUCGGGUUAGUCCACUAGGGACUGUUUCAUUGCAUUAUGUUAGUAAUAAAUAAUCUACACUGUGUGUGUGUAUUUCUGUGUGAUUAUUUAGUGAGUUAGUAAAUAAAUAAGCCAAUUUGUGUAUCGCUGAAUCAUCACUUAGGCUAGGGUUCGUGCAGAUUUACG
Molecule: long non-coding RNA, 10477 nt
Filed under: Salmo salar (Atlantic salmon)
Lineage: Eukaryota; Metazoa; Chordata; Actinopteri; Salmoniformes; Salmonidae
Description: lncRNA (ENSSSAG00000107305.1)
Source: RNAcentral